GACGAACGCUGGCGGCGUGCUUAACACAUGCAAGUCGAACGGAAAGGCCCUGCUUUUGUGGGGUGCUCGAGUGGCGAACGGGUGAGUAACACGUGAGUAACCUGCCCUUGACUUUGGGAUAACUUCAGGAAACUGGGGCUAAUACCGGAUAGGAGCUCCUGCUGCAUGGUGGGGGUUGGAAAGUUUCGGCGGUUGGGGAUGGACUCGCGGCUUAUCAGCUUGUUGGUGGGGUAGUGGCGUACCAAGGCUUUGACGGGUAGCCGGCCUGAGAGGGUGACCGGCCACAUUGGGACUGGGAUACGGCCCAGACUCCUACGGGAGGCAGCAGUGGGGAAUAUUGCACAAUGGGCGGAAGCCUGAUGCAGCAACGCCGCGUGCGGGAUGACGGCCUUCGGGCUGUAAACCGCUUUCGCCUGUGACGAAGCGUGAGUGACGGUAAUGGGUAAAGAAGCACCGGCUAACUACGUG
This 468-nucleotide ribosomal RNA is filed under the name uncultured bacterium. RNAcentral describes it as "partial 16S ribosomal RNA". It matches the Rfam family "Bacterial small subunit ribosomal RNA", at positions 28 to 507 of the family's 1533-position model. The record is from RNAcentral.